UGAGCUAUAUCCCUAGCCCACACAUAAUAUUAUAAAAUUGUGUUAUCAUAUAUAAAACAUAUAUUUUAACCAUUUCGAGUGUGCAGCUUGGAGACAUGUUACAUCACAUUGUAGUACAGCCAUCACCCCCAUCAGAAAUUCUUUGUCUUCCAGAACAAGCUCUGUGCCCAUUAAGCUCUAACUCCCCAUCCCCCUUCUCCCAGCCCUUGGCAAUCACCAUUGCCUGUCUCUAUGAGUUGUCUACUCUUGGGAAUCCUAUUUGUCCUUCUGUGACCGACUUAUGUCACUUAGCAUAAUAUCCUCAAGAUUCAUCCAAGUUGUACUAUGUUCCCUUUAAAUACUUAGUGAAUAUUCCAUUGCGUGUACAUAAUCAUUUUUUAUUUUUCCAUUCAUCUUUUGGUGGACAUCCGAAUAACUUCCACCUUUGGCUAUUGGAAACAAUGAAUAAGGGUUUAUCAGUGUGUCUUUGAAACCCUGAUUUCAAUUCUUUGGGGCAUACACCCAGAAAUAGAAUUGCUGGAUCAUGUGACAAUUUCAUUUUUAACUUUUUUGAGGAAGAGCUGUGCUGGAUUUCCACAACUAGUGUAAAUAGUAUUUUUGUGUGUGUGUGUGUGUGUGUGUGUGUGUGUGUGUGCCACGUGGAGAUAGAACCAAGGGCCUCAGGCAUGCUCCACAAGUGCUCCACCACUGAAUUACACCCCCAUCUCUAUUGAUAUAAUUUUUAACAAGCAUCUAGUGUUGUAAGAAGUUACAAUUUACUCAGGUUUUGCUUGUGUAUUUCACAGUACCUCUUAUUGUUCCAGUCCCAUUAGCAGCAGGGCAGCAUUUUGUAAGAUUAUUGGCUGCAGUAGAACAUUUCUUUUUAAAAGUUCAACCAAAACCUCUGCUGAGCACAUUUGUGGAAAUCAUGCCAGUUCUGUGAUUCUAGUCCCCCCUGGGGACCUGGCUCACGGCUCUGUUUUGAAUGCUCUAAUAAGUUUCAUACUCUGUAGGUCCAGAUACCUGGGGGAAGAUGUCUUUGGAGUCCUCAAGUUGGGCCUAUUCACAUG
Molecule: long non-coding RNA, 1049 nt
Filed under: Marmota monax (woodchuck)
Lineage: Eukaryota; Metazoa; Chordata; Mammalia; Rodentia; Sciuridae
Source: RNAcentral